RNAcentral lists this ribosomal RNA (323 nucleotides) under uncultured eukaryote. RNAcentral's name for it is "partial 18S ribosomal RNA". It matches the Rfam family "Eukaryotic small subunit ribosomal RNA", at positions 1469 to 1796 of the family's 1831-position model. The record is from RNAcentral.
ACCCUUAGAUGUUCUGGGCCGCACGCGCGCUACACUGAUGCGUUCAACAAGUUUCCUUGGCCGAGAGGCCUGGGCAGUCUUCUUAAUAUGUAUCGUGAUAGGGAUAGAUUAUUGCAAUUAUUAAUCUUGAACGAGGAAUUCCUAGUAAACGCAGAUCAUCAAUCUGCAUUGAUUACGUCCCUGCCCUUUGUACACACCGCCCGUCGCACCUACCGAUUGGAUGUUCCGGUGAAGCCUCGGGAUGAGGACUGGUGCCUUUAUUGGCAUGAGUUGUUCAGAACUUGUCUAAACCUUAUCAUCUAGAGGAAGGUGAAGUCGUAACA